ACGGCCGUUCAACGGAUGGCCCGCUGAAAACUGUGGUGACCUCCUCCUGUCCAGUGGGGACCUUUCUUUCUCAACGAUGGGCUACUACAACUCACGUCUUUUGGCAGCCUUGGGAAAAGAUGAGGCCAAGAAAUGAGUCAGUAGAGAGCAAAAAACCCAAAAUGUUCAGACCAUCCUCGGAGACGCCAUUUAGGACAAGAAGUCCGAGUCACUUACGAAAGGUUGGUUAGCAAAAGUACAGGAAUUUUUCAGACACUGCCAAACUGCCUGAAAUAACUAAUCCUCGAUCGCCUCAACAUCAUGACGGUUCGGGGGUCUUGGAGAUCCAAACAACACUUCACUGUCCAGAACAGCUCUUAGGUGCACCAAGAAUGGAAUGUCCACUCACAGCGACGCCAUGAAUACCCAGUAUGCCCAGUGACUAUCGAAUCUGAUGCUGACUGAUGAAAAUGGCUUUUCCCGAUUA
Ornithorhynchus anatinus (platypus) is the source of this 466-nucleotide long non-coding RNA. RefSeq lists it as uncharacterized. The transcript has 2 exons. NCBI's taxonomy places the organism in Eukaryota, Metazoa, Chordata, Mammalia, Monotremata, Ornithorhynchidae. The record is from RefSeq and is a predicted model, not a curated record.